GGCUCAGAUUGAACGCUGGCGGCAUGCUUUACACAUGCAAGUCGAACGGCAGCACGGGCUUCGGCCUGGUGGCGAGUGGCGAACGGGUGAGUAAUGCAUCGGAACGUGCCCAUUUGUGGGGGAUAACUACGCGAAAGCGUGGCUAAUACCGCAUACGCCCUGAGGGGGAAAGCGGGGGAUUCUUCGGAACCUCGCGCAAUUGGAGCGGCCGAUGUCAGAUUAGCUUGUUGGUGAGGUAAAGGCUCACCAAGGCGACGAUCUGUAGCGGGUCUGAGAGGAUGAUCCGCCACACUGGGACUGAGACACGGCCCAGACUCCUACGGGAGGCAGCAGGUGGGGUAAUUUUGGACAAUGGGGGCAACCCUGAUCCAGCAAUGCCGCGUGUGUGAAGAAGGCCUGCGGGUUGUAAAGCACUUUCAGUGGGGAAGAACAGAUUCGGGUCAAUACCCCGGAGCCCUGACGUUACCCACAGAAGAAGCACCGGCUAACUCCGUG
RNAcentral lists this ribosomal RNA (495 nucleotides) under uncultured bacterium. RNAcentral describes it as "bacterial SSU rRNA". It matches the Rfam family "Bacterial small subunit ribosomal RNA", at positions 21 to 507 of the family's 1533-position model. The record is from RNAcentral.